Molecule: ribosomal RNA, 330 nt
Filed under: uncultured soil bacterium
Lineage: Bacteria
Description: bacterial SSU rRNA
Rfam family: Bacterial small subunit ribosomal RNA
Source: RNAcentral
GGAACGAACGCUGGCGGCAUGCCUAAUACAUGCAAGUCGAACGAGAUCUUCGGAUCUAGUGGCGCACGGGUGCGUAACGCGUGGGAAUCUACCCUUGGGUUCGGAAUAACAGUUGGAAACGACUGCUAAUACCGGAUGAUGACGAAAGUCCAAAGAUUUAUCGCCCAGGGAUGAGCCCGCGUAGGAUUAGCUAGUUGGUGAGGUAAGCUCACAGGCUACGAUCCUAGCUGGUCUGAGAGGAUGAUCAGCCACACUGGGACUGAGACACGGCCAGACUCCGUACGGGAGCAGCGAGGUAGGAAUAUGGACAAGUGGGGCAACCUGACUCAG